UUGUUUGCGGGUGCUGCAUCACCAAGAUUCACAUGCAAAUGCAUGGCCGAUGAUAUAUGUUAGAAAUUUUUUUUAUAUAAAAAAGAUAUCUUUCUUUCUUUCUGAUCAUCUGCCAAAGUUCUUUGGAAGUGAGAAUCUUGAUGAUGCUGCAUCGGCAAUAAA
Non-coding RNA from Populus trichocarpa (black cottonwood), 162 nucleotides. The record is from Rfam. Lineage: Eukaryota; Viridiplantae; Streptophyta; Magnoliopsida; Malpighiales; Salicaceae.